AUUUGCGUACCAGCUGAUUGUUUGGUUUCCUGAAUUGAUUGUUUAGUUGACUGAUAGCAAAUAAUUUCUGGAAAUAUAAUCAUCUUUUCAUCGUUAUAUCUCUAUAGUUGUUAAUCCAACAAAAAUUACAGAUAUUGUAUUUAUUUAAUAGAAUCUAGCGGUAACAUAAGAUGUGAAGAAAAAUGCUUAGAACAGAAGAAAAAACGAGUGAACAUCCCUUCGUUUUGAAAAUUGUAGGAAACAAUCAGUGUUAACUAGUUAUGCACAAUUCGGAAUAAGGGAAUAAAAUGAAAAAAUGUUGUAUUUCCUCCUGUCCUAAGCCUGAAAAUUUGGUUUGUUUUGACAUACCAAAAGAUCUUGAGAGAAGAAAGGAGUGGAUGAUCAACAUCAACAGAGAUCCAAAUGUUCUUUCAGUAACAAAUGAUGAUGCUGCUGCUGCAGUCUGUUCACUUCAUUUUAAACAGAGACUGGUAUAGCAAUUAUACUGCAGAGAUGGAAAUUGCACAACUGAAUGAAAGAUCCUCACAUUCAACUGAUUCUCAAACUUCAAUUCCAAACAUGGGGCUCCCAGAGGGGAGGCAGUUCAGCUGGGGAAUGUUGAAUCACUUGGCAUUAACACUUAUGUCGCUGUUGUUGAAAAUGCAUGUCCUGAUUCUUCUGCCAAUGAUUCAAAUAGAUUAAGUACAGAAAAUAGGAAAAACUUGUUAGUGAAGUCCAUACAGUCAAAGUCUACUCAUCAAGGGAUACAACUUUCAACAUCCACGUCUAAUUCGACUUCUCGUGUUGAGACCUCCGAAGACGAAGACAUCAAUUGUUUUA
This 819-nucleotide long non-coding RNA is filed under the name Daphnia magna. RNAcentral describes it as "uncharacterized LOC123475478, transcript variant X1". The record is from RNAcentral. Lineage: Eukaryota; Metazoa; Arthropoda; Branchiopoda; Diplostraca; Daphniidae.